GGGGGGUAUUGCACAAUGGGCGGAAGCCUGAUGCAGCGACGUCGCGUGAGGGAUGGAGGCCUUCGGGUUGUGAACCUCUUUCUCCGGUGGUGAAGGCCCCGCCCUUGGUGGUGGGGUUGACGGUAGCCGGGUAUGAAGCGCCGGCUAACUACGUGCCAGCAGCCGCGGUAAUACGUAGGGCGCGAGCGUUGUCCGGAAUUAUUGGGCGUGAAGGGCUUGUAGGCGGCCGGUCGCGUCCGCCGUGAAAUUCUCCGGCUCAACCGGGGGCUUGCGGUGGGUACGGGCCGGCUGGAGUGCGGUAGGGGAGGCUGGAACUCCUGGUGUAGCGGUGGAAUGCGCAGAUAUCAGGAGGAACACCGGUGGCGAAGGCGGGUCUCUGGGCCGUUACUGACGCUGAGGAGCGAAAGCGUGGGGAGCGAACAGGAUUAGAUACCCUGGUAGUCCACGCCGUAAACGUUGGGCACUAGGUGUGGGGCCCCGCUCGGCGGGGUUCCGCGCCGCAGCUAACGCAUUAAGUGCCCCGCCUGGGGAGUACGGCCGCAAGGCUA
This 548-nucleotide ribosomal RNA is filed under the name uncultured bacterium. RNAcentral's name for it is "bacterial SSU rRNA". It matches the Rfam family "Bacterial small subunit ribosomal RNA", at positions 356 to 896 of the family's 1533-position model. The record is from RNAcentral.